RNAcentral lists this ribosomal RNA (433 nucleotides) under uncultured bacterium. Its description in RNAcentral is "partial 16S ribosomal RNA". It matches the Rfam family "Bacterial small subunit ribosomal RNA", at positions 29 to 507 of the family's 1533-position model. The record is from RNAcentral.
AACGAACGCUGGCGGCAUGCCUAACACAUGCAAGUCGAACGAGAACAGCGGGUCGGGGGGCGCACGGGGGCGUAAGGCGGGGGAACACGCCGGAAGGUUCGGAAUAACGGGGCGAAACGGGUGCUAAGAGCAGAUAAUGCCUCAGGACAAAAUAUGUAGCGAGGUUGGGUGGGCCCGAGUUGGUUUAGCUAGUUGGUAGGGUAAAAGCCUACGAAGGCGACGGGACAUAGCUGGUCUGAGAGGAAGAUCCGCCACACUGGGACUGGGACACGGCCCAGACUCCUACAGGAUGCAGCAGUGCGUAAUCCUGGAAAGUCGGCGAAAGGCUGAUCCCGCUAUGGCGCGUGAGUGAUUAAGUACUUAGCGUUGUACAGCCCUCUUAUCCGGGAUGAUAAUGACAGUACCGGAAGAAUAAGCUCCGGCUAACUCCGUG